RNAcentral lists this ribosomal RNA (478 nucleotides) under uncultured bacterium. Its description in RNAcentral is "partial 16S ribosomal RNA". It matches the Rfam family "Bacterial small subunit ribosomal RNA", at positions 28 to 523 of the family's 1533-position model. The record is from RNAcentral.
GACGAACGCUGGCGGCGUGCUUAACACAUGCAAGUCGAACGGUAAGGCCCUUCGGGGUACACGAGUGGCGAACGGGUGAGUAACACGUGGGUGAUCUGCCCUGCACUUCGGGAUAAGCCUGGGAAACUGGGUCUAAUACCGGAUAGGACCACUGCCUGCAUGGGUGGUGGUGGAAAGCUUUUGCGGUGUGGGAUGGGCCCGCGGCCUAUAAGCUUGUUGGUGGGGUGAUGGCCUACCAAGGCGACGACGGGUAGCCGGCCUGAGAGGGUGACCGGCCACACUGGGACUGAGAUACGGCCCGGACUCCUACGGGAGGCAGCAGUGGGGAAUAUUGCACAAUGGGCGCAAGCCUGAUGCAGCGACGCCGCGUGAGGGAUGACGGCCUUCGGGUUGUAAACCUCUUUCAGCACCGACGAAGCGCAAGUGACGGUAGGUGCAGAAGAAGGACCGGCCAACUACUUGCCAGCAGCCGCCGUAA